RNAcentral lists this ribosomal RNA (440 nucleotides) under uncultured bacterium. RNAcentral's name for it is "partial 16S ribosomal RNA". It matches the Rfam family "Bacterial small subunit ribosomal RNA", at positions 338 to 795 of the family's 1533-position model. The record is from RNAcentral.
CCUACGGGAGGCAGCAGUGGGGAAUAUUGCACAAUGGGGGAAACCCUGAUGCAGCGACGCCGCGUGAGUGAAGAAGUAUUUCGGUAUGUAAAGCUCUAUCAGCAGGGAAGAAAAUGACGGUACCUGAGUAAGAAGCCCCGGCUAACUACGUGCCAGCAGCCGCGGUAAUACGUAGGGGGCAAGCGUUAUCCGGAUUUACUGGGUGUAAAGGGAGCGUAGACGGUUAUGCAAGUCUGGAGUGAAAGGCGGGGGCUCAACCCCCGGACUGCUUUGGAAACUGUACGACUGGAGUGCAGGAGGGGUAAGUGGAAUUCCUGGUGUAGCGGUGAAAUGCGUAGAUAUUAGGAGGAACACCAGUGGCGAAGGCGGCUUACUGGACUGAAACUGACGUUGAGGUUCGAAAGCGUGGGGAGCAAACAGGAUUAGAUACCCGAGUAGUC